AUUGUUUAGAAACUUAGUAAGUGAAUAAAAGCACGUGGCCACGAGGACACAAGAAUAUCUAAGCGCUGCAGAAACUGCCACAUAAUUUGCUCCUUGAUUUAUUGCAUCUUUGGCAGGCAAUGCUCUGAGCUUUCAUGCAUAUAUGGGCAAUUGGGGCAUCUGUGAUGAAGUGCUGUUGACAGAAGUAUGGCCCGUGGUAACAUGAUUGCUAUAAUAAGCAACCAUGAAGAGCCUUUCGCCUCUAGCCAUGAUUCUGAGAACUUCCCAGCCAUGUGGAACUAGCCAUGUACAAGUAUAUUUUUUCAUUACAAAUAAUUCAAGAAAAAGAAACCAUUGAAGAUAAAUGAAACAUUGUAUUACAUUUUAUGCCAGCUACAAGAGAAGAUUUUUGAUGUUCAUAACACAAAGAAAAAAUAAAUGAGGAGACACGUGUUAAUUAUCCUGAUUUGAGUAUUAUACACUGUAUACAUGUAUAAAAAUAUCACUCUGUAUGCU
Molecule: long non-coding RNA, 495 nt
Organism: Pan troglodytes (chimpanzee)
Lineage: Eukaryota; Metazoa; Chordata; Mammalia; Primates; Hominidae
Exons: 4
Source: RefSeq, a predicted model, not a curated record